UAACAUGCGUGGGCGGCACUCCACAACAAUGUCGUUCACAGCAGCAAAGAAGGAGGAAUCACGUUUCCCUGGGACUCGGGGUGCGGCAGUGUGGAGACCUGUCGUAAUGCGGCGCGCCGAAACGGCGGCCGCGAGAACGUCGACGGCGGAGGCCCGGCGUUUCAGAGUCGUGGAAGUAUGGCA
RNAcentral lists this non-coding RNA (183 nucleotides) under unclassified sequences. Its description in RNAcentral is "malK-I RNA". It matches the Rfam family "malK-I RNA". The record is from RNAcentral.